AGCGAACGCUGGCGGCAGGCCUAACACAUGCAAGUCGAACGGACCUUUCGGGGUUAGUGGCGGACGGGUGGGUAACACGUGGGAACGUGCCUUUAGGUUCGGAAUAGCUCCUGGAAACGGGUGGUAAUGCCGAAUGUGCCCUUAGGGGGAAAGAUUUAUCGCCUUUAGAGCGGCCCGCGUCUGAUUAGCUAGUUGGUGAUGUAAUGGCUCACCAAGGCUAUGAUCAGUAGCUGGUCUGAGAGGAUGACCAGCCACAUUGGGACUGAGACACGGCCCAAACUCCUACGGGAGGCAGCAGUGGGGAAUCUUGCGCAAUGGGCGAAAGCCUGACGCAGCCAUGCCGCGUGGAUGAUGAAGGUCUUAGGAUUGUAAAAUCCUUUCACCGGUGAAGAUAAUGACUGUAGCCGGAGAAGAAGCCCCGGCUAACUUCGUGCCAGCAGCCGCAGUAA
RNAcentral lists this ribosomal RNA (449 nucleotides) under uncultured bacterium. RNAcentral describes it as "partial 16S ribosomal RNA". It matches the Rfam family "Bacterial small subunit ribosomal RNA", at positions 29 to 523 of the family's 1533-position model. The record is from RNAcentral.